This 492-nucleotide ribosomal RNA is filed under the name uncultured bacterium. RNAcentral's name for it is "partial 16S ribosomal RNA". It matches the Rfam family "Bacterial small subunit ribosomal RNA", at positions 28 to 507 of the family's 1533-position model. The record is from RNAcentral.
AUUGAACGCUGGCGGCAUGCUUUACAUAUGCAAGUCGAACGGUAACAGGCCUUCGGGUGCUGCCGAGUUGCGUACGGGUGAGUAAUGCAUCGGAACGUACCCAGUGGCGGGGGGUAACGCAGCCAAAGCUGUGCUAAUACCGCAUGUGAUCUGAGGAUGAAAGCGUGGGACCGAGCAGCAAUGUUUGGCCUCGUGCCUUUGGAGCGGCCGAUGUCGGUUGAGCUAGUUGGCGGGGUUAAGGCCUACCAAGGCGACGAUCCGUAGAUGGUAUGAGAGGAAGACUCGCCACACUGUGAGUGAGACAGGGCCCAGACUCUUACGGGAGGACGCAGUGGGGAAUCUUGGGGGAUGGGGGAGAGCCUGAUCCAGCAAUGCCGCGUGCGGGAAGAAGGCGUUCGGGUUGGUAAGCGCUUUAGGCAGGAACGAAGUGGUGUCCGCUUACACCGGGCGAUAAUGACGGUACCUGCAGAAUAAGCACCGGCUAACUACGUG